AGUUUGAUCAUAGCUCAGAUUGAACGCUGGCGGGAUGCUUUACACAUGCAAGUCGAACGGCAGCACGGACUUCAGUCUGGUGGCGGUGGCGAACGGGUGAGUAAUGUAUCGGAACGUGCCUAGUAGCGGGGAUAACUACGCGGCCGUAGCUAAUACCGCAUACGCCCUUCGGGGGAAAGCGGGGGACCUUCGGGCCUCGCAUAUUGAAACAGCCGAUAUCAGGAUGGCUAGUUGGUGGGGUAACGGCUCACCAGGGCGACAAUCCGUAGCUGGUUUGAAGAGAGGACGACCAGCCACACUGGGACUGAGACACGGCCCAGACUCCUACGGGAGGCAGCAGUGAAAUGCGGACAAUGGAAACCUGAUCCAGCCAUCCGCGUGUGCGAUGAAGGCCUUCGGGGUUGUAAAGCGCUGGCGGGAAAGAAACGGCGGAUAAUGCCCCGUGCAACUGACGACACCUGCAGAAUAAGCAGCCGCUUACGUGCCAGCAGCCGCGGUAAUACGUAGGGUGCAAGCGUUAAUCGGAAUUACUGGGCGUAAAGCGUGCGCAGGCGGUUCGGAAGAAAGAUGUGAAAUCCCAGAGCUUAACUUUGGAACUGCAUUUUUAACUACCGAGCUAGAGUGUGUCAGAGGGAGGUGGAAUUCCGCGUGUAGCAGUGAAAUGCGUAGAUAUGCGGAGGAACACCGAUGGCGAAGGCAGCCUCCUGGGAUAACACUGACGCUCAUGCACGAAAGCGUGGGGAGCAAACAGAGUUAGAUACCCUGGUAGUCCACGCCCUAAACGAUGUCAACUAGCUGUUGGGGCCUUCGGGCAUGGUAGCGCAGCUAACGCGUGGUUGACCGCCUGAAAUACAGUCGCAAGAUUAAAACUCAAAGGAAUUGACGGGGACCCGCACAGCGGUGGUUGAUGUGGAUUAAUUCGAUGCAACGCGAGAAAACCUUACCUAUGACUAUGUCUGGAAUCCGAAGAGAUUUGGGAGUGCUCGCCAAGAGAACCGGAACACAGGUGCUGCAUGGCUGUCGUCAGCUCGUGUCGUGAGAUGUUGGGUUAAGUCCACAACAAAACGCAGCCACUUGUCAUUAGUUGCUACGAAAGGGCACUCUAAUGGGGCCACCGGUGUCGGCGGAGGAAGGUGGGGAUGACGUCAAGUCCUCAUAGCCCUUAUGGGUAGGGCUUCACACGUGCAAUGGUCGGGACAGGGGUCGCCAACCGCGAGGGCUUGUCAGAAACCCGAUCGUAGUCCGGAUCGCAGUCUGCAACUCGACUGCGUGAAGUCGGAAUCGCUAGUAAUCGCGGAUCAGCAUGUCGCGGUGAAUACGUUCCCGGGUCUUGUACACACCCGCCAAUCACCUGUAGAGUGGGUUACCAGAAGUAGUUAGCCUAACCGUAAGGAGGGCGAUUACCACGGUGAUUCAUGACUGGGGUGAAGUCGUAACAA
This 1439-nucleotide ribosomal RNA is filed under the name uncultured Bordetella sp. Its description in RNAcentral is "partial 16S-23S ribosomal RNA intergenic spacer". It matches the Rfam family "Bacterial small subunit ribosomal RNA". Lineage: Bacteria; Pseudomonadati; Pseudomonadota; Betaproteobacteria; Burkholderiales; Alcaligenaceae. The record is from RNAcentral.